GUAUAGAUAUAUAUCGACUACUAGUCGUGACCCCCCUCUUGCCACCUAUCGUCAUCAUCGCUGCCUCUUGCCGCCGCCGCCGCCGCCACCACCACUACUACUACACUCUACCAUCGAAGGGUCACGCAACACGGUAGCAUAACAAAGGAUGAUGUGCUGUCUCGACCCUUUAGCCGUCAUUAAUUCUGAACGAAGGUAGAACGAGCCUCUCAGAAUUUCUCAGAUGACUUCCAUUAGCGGCCGUUAUGUUUAUCGUUUAAGGCUAACAAUAAGCCGAUCGAAUAAAAGAAUAACAUUGACCCAAA
Molecule: long non-coding RNA, 305 nt
Organism: Monomorium pharaonis (pharaoh ant)
Lineage: Eukaryota; Metazoa; Arthropoda; Insecta; Hymenoptera; Formicidae
Exons: 2
Source: RefSeq, a predicted model, not a curated record